This 253-nucleotide ribosomal RNA is filed under the name uncultured bacterium. Its description in RNAcentral is "partial 16S ribosomal RNA". It matches the Rfam family "Bacterial small subunit ribosomal RNA", at positions 524 to 776 of the family's 1533-position model. The record is from RNAcentral.
UACAGAGGUCCCAAGCGUUGUUCGGAUUCACUGGGCGUAAAGGGUGCGUAGGUGGCCAGGUAAGUCUGAUGUGAAAUCUCGAAGCUCAACUUCGAAACUGCAUUGGAUACUAUCUGGCUCGAGGAUCGGAGGGGAGACUGGAAUUCUUGGUGUAGCAGUGAAAUGCGUAGAUAUCAAGAGGAACACCAGUGGCGAAGGCGAGUCUCUGGACGAUUCCUGACACUGAGGCACGAAAGCUAGGGGAGCAAACAGG